This 808-nucleotide ribosomal RNA is filed under the name uncultured Acidobacteriota bacterium. RNAcentral describes it as "bacterial SSU rRNA". It matches the Rfam family "Bacterial small subunit ribosomal RNA", at positions 71 to 859 of the family's 1533-position model. The record is from RNAcentral. Lineage: Bacteria; Pseudomonadati; Acidobacteriota.
AAAGUGGAGCAAUCCAUGAGUAGAGUGGCGAACGGGUGAGUAACACGUGGGUGACCUACCUUCGAAUGGGGGAUAACGUCCCGAAAGGGACGCUAAUACCGCAUAACAUCCUGCUUUUGAACAAGCGGAGAUCAAAGCCGGGGAUCGCAAGACCUGGCGUUUGAAGAGGGGCCCGCGUCUGAUUAGCUAGUUGGUGAGGUAAUGGCCCACCAAGGCAACGAUCAGUAUCCGGCCUGAGAGGGCGGACGGACACACUGGGACUGAGACACGGCCCAGACUCCUACGGGAGGCAGCAGUGGGGAAUUGUUCGCAAUGGGCGCAAGCCUGACGACGCAACGCCGCGUGGAGGAUGAAGGUCUUCGGAUUGUAAACUCCUGUUGCCCGGGACGAAAAGCUUCGACCUAACACGUCGAGGUCUGACGGUACCGGGUGAGGAAGCCCCGGCUAACUCUGUGCCAGCAGCCGCGGUAAUACAGAGGGGGCAAGCGUUGUUCGGAAUUACUGGGCGUAAAGGGCGCGUAGGCGGCCCGCUAAGUCGAACGUGAAAUCCCUGGGCUCAACCCGGGAACUGCGUCCGAUACUGGUGGGCUUGAAUCCGGGAGAGGGAUGCGGAAUUCCAGGUGUAGCGGUGAAAUGCGUAGAUAUCUGGAGGAACACCGGUGGCGAAGGCGGCAUCCUGGACCGGCAUUGACGCUGAGGCGCGAAAGCCAGGGGAGCAAACGGGAUUAGAUACCCCGGUAGUCCUGGCCCUAAACGAUGAAUGCUUGGUGUGGCGGGUAUCGAUCCCUGCCGUGCCGAAGCUAACGCA